AUCUUCCUUUUCUCUUUCACAAUCUCUCUGGUAUAUUGUGGAUCCUCUCUCUUUUUCUCUAUGGAUAUUUCGUUGAUCUCAGGCUUUUUCUUGCAAAUUUCGGAUCCUCUCUUCUGUUCUUCUCUUUUUCCUCCUUUUCUUUUCUUCACUUGAUUUCACGUUUGAUCUGCUAUUUAAUCUGCAAUUUCUUUCAUCAAAUUAAGCAUUUUGUAGCAUUAGAAGCAAGAGAAAACAAUUUAGGCAGAUAAAGAGCCGUUAGAGGAUUUUUAGGAAGCAUAAAUGGCAAUUAAAAUGGGCAAAAAAAUAGCCGUUGCUGACAUUUUCCGUCGCAGGGGUCGACUCAUGAGUCGACUCAUGCUUCAGGGGUCGACUCAUGAGUCGAUCUCUGUUGCAAAAAUCAGAGAAUGCUUUUCUGGAAUUUCUUGGCUCAAAUUAGCAGGGGUCGACUCAUGCCUUGUGGGUCGACUCAUGAGUCGACUCACAGGUCGUGCCAAGCCAGAAAACUAGCGUGCCAAAGAGAAUUU
This 524-nucleotide long non-coding RNA is filed under the name Elaeis guineensis (African oil palm). RNAcentral describes it as "long non-coding RNA (EGUI_LNC002068)". Lineage: Eukaryota; Viridiplantae; Streptophyta; Magnoliopsida; Arecales; Arecaceae. The record is from RNAcentral.